AACCAGCAAAGAAGAGCAGCAGCUCGCCGAGGACCACCGUCGCCCGUCCCGCCGCCGCACCGGAGCCGAACCGCCCGCGACGCCCGCCCGCACAACGCUGCGCGUUCCGCUGGCCAUCCCUCGCGCCAGGCGUGCUCCCCCGCGCGAUCCAGCUGCUACCCAUCCUCUGUCCAGCUCCGUUCGGCCACCUCCGGCCACCGUGGGCCACCGCUUGGCCUCGCCAAGCCACCACCCGCUCUCUCGACCUCUUGCCGCCCCCAACCCUCUCUCUUUCUUGCUGUUUUGUGGCCGAACCAGCAAACCCACGGAGUGGGUAUCCAGCUGUUCGUGGGCCGUUUUGGGCCGUUUCCCGGCCCCGAACCCGAGCCGUGCUUUGGGGACAAUCGUUCCUCGCGUCGCCGCCGUCGGAUUGAUCCGAUUUGCGCGCGAUUUGGUGAGUAAUUUCACUAAUUCUGGAUUAGUUGGCUAAUUAUGCUUAAGGUUGGUUUAGUUUUAAUUAAUUAUGUUUAAGUUGUUAGAUUAGAAUAAAUUAACAAUUAUUAGUCAAUUGUGAUAUGAUUUAGAUAAAUUGAUUGUGCAAUUAACAAGUAGACGUGGUCUACUAUUUAUUGGAAGUAUCUGGGGAAUUUUCCGACCCCUAAUCGGGCUUCAAUUUGGCGAUUUGGGCCUAAGUAAGAUUUUUGGGCAUUUAAAUAUUAAUUUUCGGAAUUUAAUUAAAUAAUUAUUUAUUUUCCGAAAAUUCAAGGGAGAUGGUCUGGAACCGGAAUAUUAUGCGGAUGACUGUGGUGAAGUCUGUUUAUUUAAUCGGGCUUUAUUUUGAGCUAAAUUUAAUUUUUAAUAUUAAUUAUUUAAUUUUUGAAAUUAAUUAAUUAAUUAUUUAUUUCCUGAAAAUUCAACUGGGAUGGCCCGUGACUGGAAAAUUAUGCUGAUGACCGUGGUGAAGUCCGUUUAUUUAAUUGGGCCUUAUUUUGAGCUAAACGGAAUUUUAAUGUUUAAUAAUUAAUUUUCGAAAUUAAUUAAUAAUUAAUUAUUUUUCGGAAAUUAAGUUUGAGAUGGCCGACGACCGAAAUCUCGUGCUAAUCGUCGUGGCGCAGUCCGUUUAUUUAAUUAAGCUUUAAAUUGUGCUGAAUUGAUUUAAUUGUGGAUAAUUACUUUAGAAAUGGGAUGAAUCAUCAUGAACGGCACGGGGCUUGAUGAUUAGAUAUAUCACCUCAGAGAAUGCACAUGGCUCAGUGACGAAGUAUGUCGCCUUGGAGAAUGCAUGUGGCUCGGUGAUUAAGUUUGGCAUCUAAAAGGACACGUGGGCUCGGUAAAUUGAUGCAUUACCUCGGAGAAUGCACGUGGUCCGAAUGAGUACAUUUGGCAUCUAAAAGGACACGUGGGCUCGGUAAUUUGAUGCAUUACCUCGGAGAAUGCACGUGGUCCCAAUGAGUACAUUUGGCAUCUUGAAGAGACACGUGGGCUCGGUGACUUGAUGCAUCGCCUCGGAGAAUGCACGUGGGCUCGCUGAUUCAAAUUGGCAUUAAAGGGCACGUGGGCUCGGUAAAGUAAUGCAUUACCUCGGAGAAUGCACGUGGCUCGGUUAUUGGUUUUGUUAAUUGAGUCUGAAUAGCAAUAGCUUGAAUGACCAGGAAAUGGUCAGGCUCACAUGUAAUCGACUAGGUCGAUUGAUCAUUGAUUUGAUUUGACGUCGAGAAUUGAUUGACUGAUUAGAAAUGACCGUGAGUGGUCUUGUUGGCAUUUAAUCGACUAGGUCGAUUUGAUCGAUGCUUCGAUCAGUGAUAUGAUUGCUUGGGUGCCUAUUAUGAAUUGUACUGACUUGCAGGUGGGAUAUGAGGCCAAGGUACGUCUUCUGCCCUAUGCGUGUAGAGGCAGCCUAUAGUAUAAUAGUUUACUAAUUGGGCUUAGUGGGGUAGAAUUCGCUGAGACGUAGUCUCAUCCCAGUUUGGGGAAAAACAUUUCAGGACCCCGAUGAGGAGCUGAGGAGGAGUCUAAGAAGGAGAACUCGGAGGUGAAACUUAAAGAGAAAGAUUUUUGGAAGAAGAAGAUAAUCCCGAGAGGGGCCUUAAGUAUGGCCUGGAUGGGCUGAAAGUCUAUCUUCUUUUGAGAAUUUCUUUUGAAGUGAAUAGUUAUGAAUUUGUUUGUGUUUUGUAUAAAAGUUUGGUUAUAUUUCAAUAUGAAAAAUAUGGC
Molecule: long non-coding RNA, 2190 nt
Filed under: Eucalyptus grandis
Lineage: Eukaryota; Viridiplantae; Streptophyta; Magnoliopsida; Myrtales; Myrtaceae
Description: long non-coding RNA (EGRA_LNC004563)
Source: RNAcentral